GGUCUUAUGAAGUUAGCGGCGGACGGGUGAGUAACACGUGGGUAACCUGCCCAUAAGACUGGGAUAACUCCGGGAAACCGGGGAUAAUACCGGAUAACAUUUUGAACCGCAUGGUUCGAAAUUGAAAGGCGGCUUCGGCUGUCACUUAUGGAUGGACCCGCGUCGCAUUAGCUAGUUGGUGAGGUAACGGCUCACCAAGGCAACGAUGCGUAGCCGACCUGAGAGGGUGAUCGGCCACACUGGGACUGAGACACGGCCCAGACUCCUACGGGAGGCAGCAGUAGGGAAUCUUCCGCAAUGGACGAAAGUCUGACGGAGCAACGCCGCGUGAGUGAUGAAGGCUUUCGGGUCGUAAAACUCUGUUGUUAGGGAAGAACAAGUGCUAGUUGAAUAAGCUGGCA
Molecule: ribosomal RNA, 401 nt
Filed under: Bacillus sp. GR1-11
Lineage: Bacteria; Bacillati; Bacillota; Bacilli; Caryophanales; Bacillaceae
Description: bacterial SSU rRNA
Rfam family: Bacterial small subunit ribosomal RNA
Source: RNAcentral